Molecule: long non-coding RNA, 801 nt
Organism: Vicia villosa (hairy vetch)
Lineage: Eukaryota; Viridiplantae; Streptophyta; Magnoliopsida; Fabales; Fabaceae
Exons: 4
Source: RefSeq, a predicted model, not a curated record
GCUCGGUUUUUAGUGGUUUAUUCCGGUUCGGUUCGGUUGAUAAUAUUAGGCCCAUCGGUGACCGGACCCGACCGAGUCCAAUUUAUAUUUUAUUAUUAUAAUUAUUAUUUAUUAACACUAGCUAGGGUUUGAGGAGACCAACACCAAUUUCUCUCCCUCAUUUUUCUUCUUCCGUGUAGCCGCUCGCCGCCCCCUUCUUCUUUCCUCUGGUGAAAAAACAUAACUACCACCACAAUAUUCUCUAGUUCAAUCAUAAACACAUUCAUCUUCCGCUCAAUCUCUCUUCGUCUCUCAAAAAAAUCAAACCCUAACACCCAAAUUUUAGAAAAAGACCACAAUAUUAAAGGUUGUAUUUGUGAACUGAAAGGAGGUUGCAAGCGGAUGUUUUGAGAGUUUCUAUAAUUUUCUAUCUGAUUAUCAAAGUGAUCUUCUUCAGGUUGCAGAUCGUUGCUUCUAUCUUCUUUAUACUUGUUGUUCUUUCAUAUUGAUGUUCUUGCAUUCCUUCUGGUGUUGCGGGAGGUAUCACUUUUUCUAGUUUAUAGAUUAAGUUUCAUUCACUGAUCCCAAAUCCAUCCACAGAAGAGGAGAAACUUUUUGAAAGGAAAAAGAGGUUAAAGAAGAGGUAUGGAGUUAUUGUUUCAAUAGGCCUUGUUUUUGUUCCUGUCUAACAUUGAAUAGGAAAUUAUCAUGCACCUACUACUUAUUCAUUCAAAGACUGGUGUUAGAUUCUAAUAUAUUUUAGUUAAUUCCUAAUUUGUAUUGGAUUUAGUUUUGUAUUUAUUUUAUUAAAUUUGAUUUAUG